UAGAGCUCGGCCUGGCGGGGACCCUGGGCCAGCCUCGCGCCUCCGUGGCCCGGGCACCUCGUGCGUGUCCGCGAGCUCGCGUGCGCGCGUCACCUCGGACCGCAGCAUGGCUUGGAGGGCGGCCCUACUCGCGCCGCCCUAGUGCUGCGAAGGGCCUCGGAGCCCAAACCCGGAACCGCCAUCUGGGACUGGGAAGACGACAUGGCCAGAAGUCGGCGGGAGUGCAGUGACACGAUCGGGACCCACUGUAGCCUCAAACUCCUGCCCUUAAGCAAUCCAAGUGCUUCAGCCUCCCGAGUAGCUGAGACUGCAGGUGAGGACCGCCAUGUCUAGCUUUUUGUUUUUUUAAAACAUAUGGGGUGUCUCUGUGUUGCCCAGCCAGCUCUGGAACUCCUGGCUUCAAUUGACCCUCUGCCUCAGCCUCCCAAAGUGUUGGGAUUGCAGAUGUGAGCCACUGUGCCCAACCUGUUUUUCUUGGUGUUUUAUAUAAAUGGAAUUGUAUCGCACGUAAUCUUUAGGGAAGUGGGGGCUGUUCAUUGAGCAUAAUUAUGUUGGAAUUCGUCUAUAUAUUGAUAAAUAUUUUAAGUGCUUUUUAUUGCUCAGCGGUGUCUAGGAGUCAUUCUUGCUUACCCUUUCCCACUGCAGCCUUCACUCAAUCUCAUCAAAGAUCUAGCUCCAAUAUAUAAACCAAAUCCAAGCCAUUCCUACGUAUAUUACCCCUGAGCCAUGCUCUCUCACGUAGAUUACAGAUACAGCCUAGUACCUGGUCAUCCUCCAAUCAGUUUUGUCUACAGCCAUGCGAGUCUUCUUUCUAUGCCUUAAAUAAGACAAAUGUAUUCCAGCUCUUUUGAAUAUUUCCAAUUAUGAAAUGUUCCUCUUUAUUUCUAAUAAUGCUUGCUAUUGUCAACUUUGUCAUAUGUAAAUAACACCACCAGCUUUCUUUCCUGUGUGUACCUUUAGAGUUAAGUGAGUUUAAGAAGUGUGUGUGUGGCCGGGCGCGGUGGCUCACGCCUGUAAUCCCAGCACUUUGUGAGGCCGA
This 1039-nucleotide long non-coding RNA is filed under the name Pan troglodytes (chimpanzee). RNAcentral describes it as "long non-coding RNA NONPTRT007845". The record is from RNAcentral. Lineage: Eukaryota; Metazoa; Chordata; Mammalia; Primates; Hominidae.